UACGAAGGGGGCUAGCGUUGUUCGGAAUUACUGGGCGUAAAGGGCGCGUAGGCGGUCCUUCAAGUCAGGCGUGAAAGCCCCGGGCUCAACCUGGGAACUGCAUUCAAAACUGACAAGCUAGAGUAUGGUAGAGGGUGGUGGAAUUUCCUGUGUAGCGGUGAAAUGCGUAGAUAUAGGAAGGAACACCAGUGGCGAAGGCGACCACCUGGACUGAUACUGACACUCAGGUGCGACAGCGUGGGGAGCAAACAGG
Molecule: ribosomal RNA, 253 nt
Filed under: uncultured bacterium
Lineage: Bacteria
Description: partial 16S ribosomal RNA
Rfam family: Bacterial small subunit ribosomal RNA
Source: RNAcentral